UACGUAGGGUGCGAGCGUUUGUCCGGAAUUACUGGGCGUAAAGAGCUCGUAGGUGGUUUGUCGCGUUGUUCGUGAAAACUCACAGCUUAACUGUGGGCGUGCGGGCGAUACGGGCAGACUUGAGUACUGCAGGGGAGACUGGAAUUCCUGGUGUAGCGGUGGAAUGCGCAGAUAUCAGGAGGAACACCGGUGGCGAAGGCGGGUCUCUGGGCCAUUACUGACGCUGAGGAGCGAAAAGCGUGGGGGAGCGAACAGG
RNAcentral lists this ribosomal RNA (256 nucleotides) under uncultured bacterium. RNAcentral describes it as "partial 16S ribosomal RNA". It matches the Rfam family "Bacterial small subunit ribosomal RNA", at positions 524 to 776 of the family's 1533-position model. The record is from RNAcentral.